RNAcentral lists this ribosomal RNA (243 nucleotides) under Heterotermes cardini. RNAcentral's name for it is "partial 16S ribosomal RNA". Lineage: Eukaryota; Metazoa; Arthropoda; Insecta; Blattodea; Rhinotermitidae. The record is from RNAcentral.
UGGGGAAUGUUUUAUUGAAUUUGGUUUUUGAGUUAAAAUUUUUAAAUGUUUUUAUGGGACGAGAAGACCCUAUAGAGUUUAACAUUUGGCCUAUUUUUCCUUAUGGUUGGUUUUGUUUAAUUAAGUGGGCUUAUAUGUUUUGUUGGGGCGAUGAGAGGGAUAUAGUUUAACCCCUCUUUAUUUUGGUUAUAUUAAUUUAUAGUUGCUUGAUCCAUUAAUUUUGAUUAUAAAAUUAAAUUACCU